This 508-nucleotide ribosomal RNA is filed under the name uncultured bacterium. RNAcentral describes it as "partial 16S ribosomal RNA". It matches the Rfam family "Bacterial small subunit ribosomal RNA", at positions 28 to 507 of the family's 1533-position model. The record is from RNAcentral.
GACGAACGCUGGCGGCGUGCCUAAUACAUGCAAGUCGAACGCUUCUUUCCUCCCGAGUGCUUGCACUCAAUUGGAAAGAGGAGUGGCGGACGGGUGAGUAACACGUGGGUAACCUACCCAUCAGAGGGGGAUAACACUUGGAAACAGGUGCUAAUACCGCAUAACAGUUUAUGCCGCAUGGCAUAAGAGUGAAAGGCGCUUUCGGGUGUCGCUGAUGGAUGGACCCGCGGUGCAUUAGCUAGUUGGUGAGGUAACGGCUCACCAAGGCCACGAUGCAUAGCCGACCUGAGAGGGUGAUCGGCCACACUGGGACUGAGACACGGCCCAGACUCCUACGGGAGGCAGCAGUAGGGAAUCUUCGGCAAUGGACGAAAGUCUGACCGAGCAACGCCGCGUGAGUGAAGAAGGUUUUCGGAUCGUAAAACUCUGUUGUUAGAGAAGAACAAGGACGUUAGUAACUGAACGCCCCCUGACGGUAUCUAACUAGAAAGCCACGGCUAACUACGUG